Molecule: non-coding RNA, 145 nt
Organism: Schistosoma mansoni
Lineage: Eukaryota; Metazoa; Platyhelminthes; Trematoda; Strigeidida; Schistosomatidae
Source: Rfam
AUAACUGGUUUGUGGUGGUCAAGCGUUCCGAGCGACGUCGCCUUUUGAUACUUCGAUGUAGGUUUUUCCUUUCACUGAAAAACAGAAUUCACCAAGCGUUGGAUUGGUCACCCACUAAUACCAUUUCAAACUUUUUGGAAACUUU